CAACCGCAUAUGGGCAGGUUACCUACGUGUUACUCACCCGUCCGCCACUCGUUGGCGACCAAAAUCUAUCAGGUGCAAGCACCAUCAAUCAAUUGGGCCAACGCGUUCGACUUGCAUGUAUUAGGCACACCGCCGGCGUUCAUCCUGAGCCAUGAUAAAAACUCA
RNAcentral lists this ribosomal RNA (165 nucleotides) under Limosilactobacillus fermentum. RNAcentral describes it as "Lactobacillus fermentum partial 16S ribosomal RNA". Lineage: Bacteria; Bacillati; Bacillota; Bacilli; Lactobacillales; Lactobacillaceae. The record is from RNAcentral.